RNAcentral lists this small nuclear RNA (20 nucleotides) under Arabidopsis thaliana (thale cress). RNAcentral's name for it is "snRNA_08306". The record is from RNAcentral. Lineage: Eukaryota; Viridiplantae; Streptophyta; Magnoliopsida; Brassicales; Brassicaceae.
UUAAGUAACGUUAUACCACA